AUUGAACGCUGGCGGCAGGCCUAACACAUGCAAGUCGAACGAGUGGCGGACGGGUGAGUAAUGUCUGGGAAACUGCCUGAUGGAGGGGGAUAACUACUGGAAACGGUAGCUAAUACCGCAUACCAUCAGAUGUGCCCAGAUGGGAUUAGCUAGUCGGUGGGGUAAAGGCUCACCUAGGCGACGAUCCCUAGCUGGUCUGAGAGGAUGACCGGCAACAGUGGAACUGAGACACGGUCCAGACUCCGACGGGAGGCAUCAGUGGGGAAUAGUGCACAAUGGGCGCAAGCAUGAUGCAGCGAUGCCGCGUGUAUGAAGAAGGCGUUGGGGUUGUAAAGUACUUUCAGCGGGGAGGCGUUACCCGCAGAAGAAGCACCGGCUAACUCCGUGCCAGCCGCCGCGGUAAUAC
RNAcentral lists this ribosomal RNA (406 nucleotides) under uncultured bacterium. RNAcentral describes it as "partial 16S ribosomal RNA". It matches the Rfam family "Bacterial small subunit ribosomal RNA", at positions 30 to 526 of the family's 1533-position model. The record is from RNAcentral.